AGUGAGAAGCAAUGUUUGUGUUUAGUUUCGGCCUAAAAGAGUGGAGAGAUCCCUU
This 55-nucleotide transfer RNA is filed under the name Centruroides limpidus. RNAcentral's name for it is "tRNA-Arg". The record is from RNAcentral. Lineage: Eukaryota; Metazoa; Arthropoda; Arachnida; Scorpiones; Buthidae.